GAUGAACGCUGGCGGCGUGCCUAAUACAUGCAAGUCGAGCGAAUGGAUUAAGAGCUUGCUCUUAUGAAGUUAGCGGCGGACGGGUGAGUAACACGUGGGUAACCUGCCCAUAAGACUGGGAUAACUCCGGGAAACCGGGGCUAAUACCGGAUAACAUUUUGAACCGCAUGGUUCGAAAUUGAAAGGCGGCUUCGGCUGUCACUUAUGGAUGGACCCGCGUCGCAUUAGCUAGUUGGUGAGGAAACGGCUCACCAAGGCAACGAUGCGUAGUCGACCUGAGAGGGUGAUCGGCCACGCUGGGACUGAGACACGGCCCAGACUCCUACGGGAGGCAGCAGUAGGGAAUCUUCCGCAAUGGACGAAAGUCUGACGGAGCAACGCCGCGUGAGUGAUGAAGGCUUUCGGGUCGUAAAACUCUGUUGUUUGGGAAGAACAAGUGCUAGUUGAAUAAGCUGGCACCUUGACGGUACCUAACCAGAAAGCCACGGCUAACUACGUGCCAGCCGCCGCGGUAA
Molecule: ribosomal RNA, 515 nt
Filed under: uncultured bacterium
Lineage: Bacteria
Description: partial 16S ribosomal RNA
Rfam family: Bacterial small subunit ribosomal RNA
Source: RNAcentral